GUAGUACUCCCUCCGUCCCAAAAUUCUUGUCUUACAUUUGUUUAGAUACGGAUGUAUCUAACACUAAAAUGUAACUAGAUACAUCCGUAUUUAUACAAAUUUAAGACAAGAAUUUUGGGACAGAGGGAGUACAAA
Triticum aestivum (bread wheat) is the source of this 135-nucleotide non-coding RNA. The record is from Rfam. Lineage: Eukaryota; Viridiplantae; Streptophyta; Magnoliopsida; Poales; Poaceae.